AGUGAACGCUGGCGGUAGGCCUAACACAUGCAAGUCGAACGGCAGCACAGUAAGAGCUUGCUCUUACGGGUGGCGAGUGGCGGACGGGUGAGGAAUACAUCGGAAUCUACUUUUUCGUGGGGGAUAACGUAGGGAAACUUACGCUAAUACCGCAUACGACCUACGGGUGAAAGCAGGGGAUCUUCGGACCUUGCGCGAUUGAAUGAGCCGAUGUCGGAUUAGCUAGUUGGCGGGGUAAAGGCCCACCAAGGCGACGAUCCGUAGCUGGUCUGAGAGGAUGAGCAGCAAACCUGAAAAGGAGCAGCGGACCAGACCCCGCGGGGGGGCAGCAGGGGGGAAUAUGGGACAAUGGGCGAAGGCCUGAUCCAGCCAUCCCGGGGGGGGAAAGAAGGCUUUCGGGUUGUAAAGCCUUUUUGUGGGAAAAAAAAAGCAGGAGGUUAAUACCCCGCUGUUCUGACGGUACCAAAAGAAUAAGCACCGGCUAACUUCGUG
Molecule: ribosomal RNA, 492 nt
Filed under: uncultured bacterium
Lineage: Bacteria
Description: partial 16S ribosomal RNA
Rfam family: Bacterial small subunit ribosomal RNA
Source: RNAcentral